GCCACUGUAGCUCAGUUGGUAGAGCGCAUCCAUGGUAAGGAUGAGGUCUCCAGUUCAAUCCUGGACAGUGGCUCCA
RNAcentral lists this transfer RNA (76 nucleotides) under Candidatus Kaiserbacteria bacterium. Its description in RNAcentral is "tRNA-Thr". It matches the Rfam family "tRNA". Rfam says of the family: Transfer RNA (tRNA) molecules are approximately 80 nucleotides in length. Their secondary structure includes four short double-helical elements and three loops (D, anti-codon, and T loops). The record is from RNAcentral. Lineage: Bacteria; Candidatus Kaiseribacteriota.